This 465-nucleotide ribosomal RNA is filed under the name uncultured bacterium. RNAcentral describes it as "partial 16S ribosomal RNA". It matches the Rfam family "Bacterial small subunit ribosomal RNA", at positions 28 to 507 of the family's 1533-position model. The record is from RNAcentral.
GACGAACGCUGGCGGCGUGCUUAACACAUGCAAGUCGAACGGAAAGGCCCCUUUGGGGGUACUCGAGUGGCGAACGGGGGAGUAACACGUGAGUAACCUGCCCUGGACUUCGGGAUAACUUCAGGAAAAUGGGGCCAAUACCGGAAAGGAAUCUGUGCUGCAUGGUGGGGGUUGGAAAGCUUCGGCGGUUUUGGAUGGACUCGCGGCUGAUCAGCUUGUUGGUGGGGUAGUGGCUUACCAAGGCGUUGACGGGUAGCCGGCCUGAGAGGGCGACCGGCCACAUUGGGACUGAGAUACGGCCCAGACGCCUACGGGUGGCAGCAGUGGGGAAUCUUGCUCCAUGGGCGGCAGCCUGAUGCAGCAACGCCGCGUGCGGGAUGACGGCCUUCGGGUUGUAAACCGCUUUCAGCAGGGGCGAAGCUUGUGGUGACGGUACCUGCAGAAGAAGCACCGGCUAACUACGUG